Molecule: ribosomal RNA, 220 nt
Filed under: uncultured bacterium
Lineage: Bacteria
Description: partial 16S ribosomal RNA
Rfam family: Bacterial small subunit ribosomal RNA
Source: RNAcentral
GACAGAGGGUGCAAACGUUGCUCGGAAUCACUGGGCGUAAAGGGCGUGUAGGCGGGUAGAUAAGUCGGGCGUGAAAUCCCUAGGCUCAACCUAGGAACUGCACUCGAAACUGUUUAUCUUGAGUGCCGGAAGAGGAAAGCGGAAUUCCUGGUGUAGAGGUGAAAUUCGUAGAUAUCAGGAGGAACACCAGUGGCGAAGGCGGCUUUCUGGACGGUAACUG